RNAcentral lists this long non-coding RNA (2205 nucleotides) under Mizuhopecten yessoensis (Yesso scallop). Its description in RNAcentral is "uncharacterized LOC110459897". The record is from RNAcentral. Lineage: Eukaryota; Metazoa; Mollusca; Bivalvia; Pectinida; Pectinidae.
AAGAGAAGAUAACUCUGCAAUACGCAAAGACGGAAUAGCUUUGAUAAAUCAUUUCUGAAAAGAAAACCAUGUCUUGCGGGACAAUUAGGUUCAGUGUACCUGUUAAACAGAGUGUCUUGGCCCAACUGUCCUUAAGAGUAUCCGAAGGGGAGGUUACACUAAAUAGAAAAACAAAAUACAGUGGGACAGGGAUCCCUAAACGCUAAUAUUCAUGAACCCUUUAUAUAAAUAAAUACUCUGUUAAUAUACUCAUUGACACUAUGACUGACGUCAUAUUAUUUAGUGAUAGCGUUGCUAGGCAACCUCUAACAUUACUUUUAUCAAUGGGUGACAAUCUGAAUUACUCAUAAUAGGUCCUGGUCAUUCGAAUUUGAUAUGCAUGCACAUAGGGGUUGAUGAGAACGAAAGUGAGCGUUACCUCCUAGAUAUCGAGGAUGAGUGUUCCUAUGUAUCAUUUGGCAAUCCUGAAAGUGGAGGACGGUUAUGACGAAGUGGAACUAUAUGAGUCAUCUACUGAAAUAUUAGUGUAGUGUAUUGUAUGCUCCCUCUUUCACAAGUCAGUUAAAGUUACAAGGUAGCGGUACUCCAGGAGUAUAUACUAAAAUACAAGUUACUUAAAAUUACAAGGUAGCGGUACUCCAGGAGUAUAUACUUAAAUACAAGUUAGUUAAAAUUACAAGGUAGCGGUACUCCAGGAGUAUAUACUUAAAUACAAGUUAGUUAAAAUUACAAGGUAGCGGUACUCCAGGAGUUUAUACUUAAAUACAAGUUAGUUAAAAUUACAAGGUAGCAGUACUCCAGGAGUAUAUACUAAAAUACCACAAGUCAGUUAAAGUUACAAGGUAGCAGUACUACAGGAGUAUAUACUAAAAUACCACAAGUCAGCUAAAGUUACAAGGUAGCGGUACUCAAGGAGUAUGCACUAAAAUACCCCAAGUAUCAAUAGUGUGGCGUGAUUGUACCUAUAAUCUGGCAUAGCUAAUUAGUUUAUUAUUUCUGAUACAUUACUGAGGCACCCGUAUGGGGUUUUAUACACACUCUUGUCGCAAAUAUGUUAUACAUUAGCCACGUCCCAACGGAAAACCCCUGGUUUAAAAGGGACGGAUCGAUUGCUCUUCACCUGGUUAAUUUCCUCAGUCUAGCUUGAUUGUACCUUAACGUAUAAUCAGGCAUAACUAAUUAGUUUAUCUGCAAGAAUCUGUUCUAUAGAUACAAGACAGUAUGUGAUGAUUUAGUGGUACUGCACGGGAAUUAUACUAAGAGUACAGGACAGUAGAGGUUACAGUGAGGCGGUACAACAGAAAUCUUGUUUAAAAGUACAACACGGGAGAGAUGAAAUAAACUAGUACCACAGUACUAGAAACAAUAAAAUUGUCCCACAGGAACAUGUACUGUUAUACGACUAUAAAGUUUAUAUAAAAAUGCUUUGGUACUAAAGUAUUAUUUACUGUAAGCGUACUUACUUUCAAUUUAUUUUUUAUUUCCGAAAAAGCAAUACAGAAUAAAGGUUAAAUGUGUACAUAAUACACAAAACAUAUUACAGUUUUCAAGAUGGCGGAGGACAAUUCCAUAUUCCGUAAAUAAGUACCUAAUUUUCAUUACAUUUUACAUGACAAUAAUUCCAUUAACUUAAUUGUUCAAUGUGUGUGUGUCUCGGUUCAGAAUAAUGUGCAGGACUAGUAAUAAAUAAAUGUAUCCCAUGUUCUAUAUCAGUCUUGUCGCAAGCUGAACAUAUUAUUUGACCUCUUGGAUUUAACGGACACAAAUUUUAGCAUGUAUGUCGAAUUUUAACAUAUUAGCGCACUCACAAAAUAUGCAAUAAAAACUAUAUUUAGAACAUUCAAUUAGCGAGGUCGUAAAUAAGCGCAAAGUUUAAAGCGCUUAAAACGCAAAAAUGAGAAUACCGCUUAAAUAGGUACGUUUACGGUUUAUCUUGUUUGCGAAAACAAUGUGAAAUAGUGCAACAUUACCACGCAAACAUUAUGCCUUGAGCAUUUAAAGCGUCUUACAAUACCAUCACAGUUGAUUUAUAAAUAGCUCUUGUGAUUGCCAACUCGAUUUGGUAAAUAAUGUAUAUUGGUGUUCCCAUGCUAAGAUAAACAUUGUAUUUUGAAGAUUUCCUUGUAAAAUCUGGUAUAUGUGAAGUGCCCUUAUCUGUGUCUUGUUCACUAUUAUUUCUAUCACCAAUAAAAUGCCUUACAAUUU